Molecule: ribosomal RNA, 320 nt
Filed under: uncultured eukaryote
Lineage: Eukaryota
Description: partial 18S ribosomal RNA
Rfam family: Eukaryotic small subunit ribosomal RNA
Source: RNAcentral
CCCUUAGAUGAUUUGGGCUGCACGCGCGCUACACUGACCCUAACAAUGAGCAACUGUCUGGCCUGAGAUGGCUGGGUAGCCUUUUCAACCCAUGUCAUGAUUGGGCUAGAUUUUUGUAAGUCUUGAUCUCUAACGAGGAAUCCCUAGUAUGCGUGAAUCAUCAAUCCAUGCAGAUUAUGUCCCUGCCCUUUGUACACACCACCCGUCGCUCCUACUGAUUGGGUGAUCCGGUGAGCUGUUCGGCCAUAGCAAUGUUUCUUGAGCAGGGCAAUGAAUGUUUCGCAAACCUUGCCACUUAGAGGAAGGAGAAGUCGUAACAA